CACACUGUAAACGAUGAUAACUCGCUGCCGGCGAUACAUUGUCGGUGGCCAAGCGAAAGCAUUAAGUUAUCCACCUGGGGAGUACGACCGCAAGGUUGAAACUCAAAGGAAUUGACGGGGGCCCGCACAAGCGGAGGAACAUGUGGUUUAAUUCGAUGAGACGCGAGGAACCUUACCCGGGCUCGAACGGUGCAUGAAUAUAUGAGAGAUUGUAUAGUCUGCGGACAUGCAUCGAGGUGC
Molecule: ribosomal RNA, 240 nt
Filed under: uncultured Bacteroidota bacterium
Lineage: Bacteria; Pseudomonadati; Bacteroidota
Description: uncultured Bacteroidetes bacterium partial 16S ribosomal RNA
Rfam family: Bacterial small subunit ribosomal RNA
Source: RNAcentral